This 459-nucleotide ribosomal RNA is filed under the name uncultured Pelotomaculum sp. Its description in RNAcentral is "bacterial SSU rRNA". It matches the Rfam family "Bacterial small subunit ribosomal RNA", at positions 925 to 1382 of the family's 1533-position model. The record is from RNAcentral. Lineage: Bacteria; Bacillati; Bacillota; Clostridia; Eubacteriales; Desulfotomaculaceae.
ACAAGCGGUGGAGUAUGUGGUUCAAUUCGACGCAACGCGAAGAACUUACCAGGGCUUGACCAUCCCCUGACCGCGUAUGAAAGUACGUUUUCACCUCGGGUGACAGGGAGACAGGUGGUGCAUGGUUGUCGUCAGCUCGUGUCGUGAGAUGUUGGGUUAAGUCCCGCAACGAGCGCAACCCCUACGUUUAGUUGCUAACGCGUGAAGGCGAGCACUCUAGACGAACUGCCGUUGACAAAACGGAGGAAGGUGGGGAUGACGUCAAAUCAUCAUGCCCCUUAUGUUCUGGGCUACACACGUGCUACAAUGGCCGGUACAGACGGACGCAAAGCCGCGAGGUGGAGCAAAUCCUAAAAAGCCGGUCUCAGUUCGGAUUGCAGGCUGCAAUUCGCCUGCAUGAAGUCGGAAUCGCUAGUAAUCGCAGGUCAGCAUACUGCGGUGAAUACGUUCCCGGGCCUU